Molecule: ribosomal RNA, 709 nt
Filed under: Salmonella enterica subsp. enterica serovar Berta
Lineage: Bacteria; Pseudomonadati; Pseudomonadota; Gammaproteobacteria; Enterobacterales; Enterobacteriaceae
Also listed under: 1 other name
Description: partial 16S ribosomal RNA
Rfam family: Bacterial small subunit ribosomal RNA
Source: RNAcentral
AAAUUGAAGAGUUUGAUCAUGGCUCAGAUUGAACGCUGGCGGCAGGCCUAACACAUGCAAGUCGAACGGUAGCACAGAGAGCUUGCUCUCGGGUGACGAGUGGCGGACGGGUGAGUAAUGUCUGGGAAACUGCCUGAUGGAGGGGGAUAACUACUGGAAACGGUGGCUAAUACCGCAUAACGUCGCAAGACCAAAGAGGGGGACCUUCGGGCCUCUUGCCAUCAGAUGUGCCCAGAUGGGAUUAGCUUGUUGGUGAGGUAACGGCUCACCAAGGCGACGAUCCCUAGCUGGUCUGAGAGGAUGACCAGCCACACUGGAACUGAGACACGGUCCAGACUCCUACGGGAGGCAGCAGUGGGGAAUAUUGCACAAUGGGCGCAAGCCUGAUGCAGCCAUGCCGCGUGUAUGAAGAAGGCCUUCGGGUUGUAAAGUACUUUCAGCGGGGAGGAAGGUGUUGUGGUUAAUAACCGCAGCAAUUGACGUUACCCGCAGAAGAAGCACCGGCUAACUCCGUGCCAGCAGCCGCGGUAAUACGGAGGGUGCAAGCGUUAAUCGGAAUUACUGGGCGUAAAGCGCACGCAGGCGGUCUGUCAAGUCGGAUGUGAAAUCCCCGGGCUCAACCUGGGAACUGCAUUCGAAACUGGCAGGCUUGAGUCUUGUAGAGGGGGGUAGAAUUCCAGGUGUAGCGGUGAAAUGCGUAGAGAUCUGG